UUUGACCCAUUUCCAAAAAGUUUCUGUACCAGAAGUUUGGGUUUAUUUCAAACAAAUUUUCCAAAAAAGUAACGUGAUGGUUCCCAACAACGCUCCUCACAAGUUACAUGAAAAAUCAGUUCACUGCUUUCAUUAAAUUUGGGUGUUUGUCAAUUUUAUAGCAUUUGGAGAAACAAAGACAUUUGAAAAAUGCUUUAAAAAAGUGAGAAA
This is a long non-coding RNA of Etheostoma spectabile (orangethroat darter), 210 nucleotides long. RefSeq lists it as uncharacterized. NCBI's taxonomy places the organism in Eukaryota, Metazoa, Chordata, Actinopteri, Perciformes, Percidae. The transcript has 4 exons. The record is from RefSeq and is a predicted model, not a curated record.